This 67-nucleotide transfer RNA is filed under the name Ceratobaeus sp. MM-2013. RNAcentral's name for it is "tRNA-Gln". The record is from RNAcentral. Lineage: Eukaryota; Metazoa; Arthropoda; Insecta; Hymenoptera; Scelionidae.
UGUAUUUGGGUGUUAACAUAAAAAAUUUUGAGUUUUUAGAAAAUAAAUUUUUAUUUAUUAAAUACAA